UAUAAUGACUCAGUUGUUCAUACUGAUGAGGAACACAUAGCUGAAGCUAUCUGUGCUGCAACUGAUGUGAUAGCUGGUACGUUCUGAAUCUCUCCCUCCCCUUACUGUCAAAAUAUGUUUGGUUUAAAACUUGCAAGACUCUAAAAAUGCAACCUUAUCUGAUGCAUGCCACAUCUAAAACGAGCUAGCUACUGCCUACUGGUAAUCUGGUAUAGAAGUCCCUGAAAAUACUACAUAUGCAUUUACAGUUUAGAACUAAUGCUAGAGGUGUUUAUAGGAUUCUGAAAAUUUGAAAAAUACACCUUUAUUUAACAUAUGCAGUAUCAAAAUUGGCUAGCUACUUGUAUUAACGUCGCUGAAUCUACAUGUGGGUUUAUAAUGUGCUAUAGGUGUUAGUAGGUGUCUAGAGAUAAUAGCGAUACCUUUAUCUAGUACAUACACAAUCAAACGAGCUAGCUACUGAUACAGAAGUCCCUAAAAUAACAUGUGCAUAGAUAACUGAAUAAUAGUGCUAGAUGUCUGAAUAGGAUUCUGUAACACCGAGUGGGUCUUAAGUGAUCUGAUUAUUUUUCGUUAUGUUGUUACACUAGUUUUGCUAUUUGGUGGAACUUCAGACAGAGUGUUAUAGUGUUCAGACUAACCUAUGGAAGUCUUGAUUUUGAUAAGUACUUGUGAAUACUUAUGUUGCAGGAUCUGGUAAAGGUGUUUCAGACACUCCCUUGACGCUCCAUGUGAAGAAGGCUGGUGUUCCGGAUAUUACAAUGGUUGAUCUCCCUGGGAUAACU
Molecule: long non-coding RNA, 785 nt
Filed under: Capsella rubella
Lineage: Eukaryota; Viridiplantae; Streptophyta; Magnoliopsida; Brassicales; Brassicaceae
Description: long non-coding RNA (CRUB_LNC004073)
Source: RNAcentral